AUUGAACGCUGGCGGCAUGCCUAACACAUGCAAGUCGAACGGUAACGGCAGACACAAUCCUUUGGGUGCGUGUCCGGACGACGAGUGGCGGACGGGUGAGUAAUGCUUGGGAAUUUGCCUAGUAGUGGGGGACAACACGGGGAAACUCGUGCUAAUACCGCAUACGCCCUACGGGGGAAAGCGGGGGAUCUUCGGACCUCGCGCUAUUAGAUGAGCCCAAGUCGGAUUAGCUUGUUGGUGAGGUAAUGGCUCACCAAGGCCGCGAUCCGUAGCUGGUCUGAGAGGACGAUCAGCCACACUGGGACUGAGACACGGCCCAG
This 320-nucleotide ribosomal RNA is filed under the name uncultured bacterium. Its description in RNAcentral is "bacterial SSU rRNA". It matches the Rfam family "Bacterial small subunit ribosomal RNA", at positions 30 to 334 of the family's 1533-position model. The record is from RNAcentral.